UUUUAGUAUUUAUUACCUUGUGAAGGCCCACCUACUCUCCUCCGUUGCCAUUGGAAAGAAGAAUACUUCAAUCCAAUCUUCCUUCCUUCCUUCCUUCGCCCACGCACCCACAAAACCCUGCUCCUAUUCCAAAUUUCUCCCUACAACUUCCCUCUUAUUUUACAAGAUUGGGCGCUAUUAGGCGCUAUUAUUCUUUUUUCUCACCACUAUUACCAUUUUCUUUAAUGCGCAAGGCUCAUAUUAUUGGAUUCUUCAGGAUCAAUGCAGGAACACCAUGAGAGCUUAACCCAGCGCUUUACUUUUCUCUUUUGAAGGGUGGGUUUCAAAAAAUAUAGGCGCGGGAGGAUUUUGAACAGAUUGGGCUUGUGGUUUUUGUGAUAAUAUUCUGGUUUUUGUCGAGCACCCAGAAUUGAAGGGUUCGAAUCCAAUGGAUCUGAAGAAGAUUUCCGAGGCAGAGGCGAAGAUAAAGGCUCUGGAAGCGGAGAAUACAGAGAUGAGGGAGACAUUAAAUGCUGUAAGGAAGCAAUUAGCAGUAUUUGAGAGCUUGAUUUUAUACCCGACUUAUUUCUAUGAGUUGGAGCGAUUUCCGGAGUCUCAGAAAGGCAUGGUGGAGUUAGCCAUGAAGGCCAACUUCUUCAAAACCUCCCAUGAAAUACGGCAGAAGACAGAGGAAAACAUGAAGGAAAUUUGGUCCAGGAGGAACUCGGGCUCCCAUUAAUAAGGAAAAAACAUGCUUCAAUUCUUGUCCCUUUUUCGGGUCAUCACAAAAGGUGUUUGUGGCCCCCUGACCCUGAAUGUUGAACCUGUACAGAACAAAUUUAACAGAAAAAAGGGUUUCAUGGCUGCAGUGUUUUGUUGAUUAGAGGUAUGGCUUAAGGAUUUUAUUUUUAUGUAAAAUUUGGGCUACAUUGGAUUGUUUGUUUGCUCUCUUUCCUUGUCUGGUUAAAUGCAGAGUUUUGCUGUGAUUUUGGUUA
Molecule: long non-coding RNA, 974 nt
Organism: Cryptomeria japonica (Japanese cedar)
Lineage: Eukaryota; Viridiplantae; Streptophyta; Pinopsida; Cupressales; Cupressaceae
Exons: 2
Source: RefSeq, a predicted model, not a curated record